ACCCGCUGAACUUAAGCAUAUCAAUAAGCGGAGGAAAAGAAACCAACAGGGAUUGCCCUAGUAACGGCGAGUGAAGCGGCAACAGCUCAAAUUUGAAAUCUGGCUCUUUUAGAGUCCGAGUUGUAAUUUGCAGAGGGCGCUUUGGCUUUGGCAGCGGUCCAAGUUCCUUGGAACAGGACGUCACAGAGGGUGAGAAUCCCGUACGUGGUCGCUGGCUAUUGCCGUGUAAAGCCCCUUCGACGAGUCGAGUUGUUUGGGAAUGCAGCUCUAAGUGGGAGGUACAUUUCUUCUAAAGCUAAAUAUUGGCCAGAGACCGACAGCGCACAAGUAGAGUGAUCGAAAGAUGAAAAGCACUUUGGAAAGAGAGUCAAACAGCACGUGAAAUUGUUGAAAGGGAAGCGCUUGCAGCCAGAUUUGCUUACAGUUGCUCAUCCGGGCUUUUGCCCGGUGCACUCUUCUGUAGGCAGGCCAGCAUCAGUUUGGGCGGUAGGAUAAAGGUCUCUGUCACGUACCUCUCUUCGGGGAGGCCUUAUAGGGGAGACGACAUACUACCAGCCUGGACUGAGGUCCGCGCAUCUGCUAGGAUGCUGGCGUAAUGGCUGU
Molecule: ribosomal RNA, 603 nt
Filed under: uncultured fungus
Lineage: Eukaryota; Fungi
Description: eukaryotic LSU rRNA
Rfam family: Eukaryotic large subunit ribosomal RNA
Source: RNAcentral